UAAGGAUCUUGUGUUAAGUUGCAAGAGAAGGGUUUGGAGUUGGGGCUUUCAGAAAUACAUGCCUCCACAAAGAAAUAAAGAACAAAGAACACACACAGGAGAACAGAUGGCUUAUCAUAACAUGGAAAGGGUGAUCUGGAUAGGCAUAUCUUUCUUUAUUGCUUUGGAGCAAUAAUCAUGCUGUGAGAAGGUGUAGUUGGUUUAGGUUGGUGUUUAUAAUAGAGAUUGUUAAUGGGAUCUUUCUCCAUGACAUGGGCACCAUCCUUCUUCCUUUGUGACACAUCUCAGAGUUUGGCUGUGUCAUCUAAGGCGAUUUAUGAUUGUCUAUGUUGGAUUGUAGGCACCAAGGGUAGAUACUAGUCUGUGAGAUGGUUUGUGCUGUUUAGCUGUGUUUAUGUUGGGAUAAAAGAUCAGGCAUAGAUGAUGGUUGUGUGACCUUUGUAUAAGGAUAAUUUCUUAUGUGUAUAAAAAAACUGAGAAAGUAACUCUGUUUUAAUCUAAGCCAAACGAUUGGGGUCUGCAUAUAGUAAUCUUCUAUUUGCUGUGUGGAAUGCUAUUCGUGGGGGGUCGUAAAGAGACCUUACAUUCCUUUCCUCCACUGAUAGUAGGAGGUUGUAAUUCAGAAUGAAACUAGACCCGAGCUUGGAAGGAGGAAUUAUAAUUUAUCAAGUGUGACAAGUAUAUGGCCUUUGUGAGCUUGGAGGUGGGAAUUGUGUGAUUAGAACUUUGUCUUUACCACUUUGUAAGAAUGGGGUAAAACUCAUCUUUAAUCUUUGUAAUUCAUAAGUAACUGUAUUUUAACUAAGUGGUUGUAAGGAAAUUAAUUGUGAAGUGUAUUGUGUUUAAUUACGAUUGUGAGUAUUAGACUUUGUUUAAAUCGGAAGUUUUAGAAAUAACUUUCUUGUCCAAAAGUGAAAAUAUGUUUUGUAUGUAUGUGUUGUGUGAUUGCUAUAUUAUGUGUAUAUUCUGAGAAGUAUUCUGUGAGAAUUAGUUUUAUAUCUGUGGUUUUACUUUAAUGAAAUAAAGUGAUUUUGAGCAAAGAGGUUGAAGAAACCACAGAGGGGAUGAAGGUUGUAAAGGGGCUGGAAAAGGGAAAAUCAUGUGACUAUACGUGUUGUCAAUCAAUGGAAAGGAUUUAGUUGAUUGGUUAAUGCAAAUAAGUUAAAUGUAUGGUACACCAUAAUGAUUGGUUAAUAGUUUGCCACUCCUUUUGUACUAUCCUUAUCUUUUACCUAUAUAAUGUGUUACAUUUAUGCCAAAGUUGUAGUUCUUUCAACCUGCCCCAGAGUUUCUAACUCUGUGUUGGAAGGUUUAAAGAAUUAUCCAGCGCUGUCAGAAUAAAGAAUCGAUUCCAGCAACAAGGGUUUGAAUCAAGUUUUCUUGAAUUAGACUGGCAAAAAGAACUCAUUUUAACAUUUGGUGUCAGAAGUGGGAUUCAGACGGUUCACCGACAACACGAGGAACGAAAAUAAGCGUUAAACUGCGCACUGAUUGGACCAGAGGAAUUGGCCAAGCAGAAGUGAGUAGUUAAACACCACUCUGUUUUCCUCUUCUCCGUAUAUUGCUGCGUAGUCGACCCUUCGUUCUUGUGUUGAACGGGAUCCAGACAGAAUCAGGUCAGUCUAACAAACCUUGUUGAUUGGUAAGAUUGGUCAUUAGGAAUGAUCAAAGGUGAACAGACUCGUCCAUUAGGAAUGGGGAGUCUUAGUCAUUGGGAAUGCUCCAUUAGGAAUGGAGAAACUUGGUCAUUAGGAAUGAUCAAAGGUGAUGGGAAUGCUCCAUUAGGAAUGGAGAAACUUGGUCAUUAGGAAUGAUCAAAGGUAAAUGCCGGCUGAACUGGAUAAAUUUAUCCUGACCAUUUGGAAUGGCAGGAGAUAGUGAUUUGGAAACAGGGUCAGCUAAACACUGACAGUGCUAAAUUUAUCCUGACCAUUUGGAAUGGCAGGAGAUAGUUAGAAAGAUUUGGAAACAGGGUCGGCUAAUCACUGACAGUGCUAAAUUAAUCUCGACCAUUUGGAAUGGUGCGAAGUAAUUAAAAACAAUUGAAUUCGGAUCCAGUGAAAAUAAGAAAUAGUAAAACGUUAACGUAAUUAUUAUAUUGUUAUAAGAAUAUUAAUACUGUGUAUAGAUUAAAUUGGUUGUGAAUAUAGUACUGAUCAGUGUGAUAAAUAUAUUAAUUGUGAUAAGUGAAUUAAGAUGGGUAAUCACUUAGAUAACACCAAGAGUUCUAGCAGCCCAUUGCAGAUUUUAUGUAACAAACAAUGGCCUCUGGGGGGGUCCUAGAAAUCCAGAUCUGGUAAAAACAAGCCCAAGAAUUAAUAUGGAAAAGAAAUGCAAAUUGAUUGAAUUAUGGCGAAAUUGGCGUGAGGAGGAAUUAGAUAUAAAUUUAAUGUUGAGGUAAUGAGACGAGAGUGUGCACACGAAAGGACUAGAGGACAGGAGAGAGAAGGAAAAAGGUUUUUUUUUUAAAAAGGGACUGCGCAGUUUAAAUGGUUGGCCUUCAAUUAGCAGAGGGAGACGAAAGGGAGGUAUGGGAAAAUCAGAAAAGUCUGAGCCCCAGUCAGUGGCGACAGGAAUUUAACCAAAUUUACCUAGGACAGGAUCAGAAAUCGAUAGUGCACCAAGCCCAGGCACCAAAAAAAAAAAAAUGGAGAAGCCCCAGUUUAGACUCUGUAGCAUGGCAUACAUGGUCACAGUCUAGAGACCAGGAGCAAGAAGGACGAGAGGAAAGGAGGUCACACAGUUGGGACUAUAAAAGGGAGCACUUGGCUGAGAAAACCACACCCCAGAAGCAACAAGGGAAGGUGCUGAAAUAGACGGAAUAAGAAAGCAUCUUCCAGGCGCCAAUAUUCUGUCAGAACGGUCCCUAACCCCAGAGCCCUUAUACCUCCUCCACCCAACCAACAAGAUUAUGGCGAAACAGGCAUGAAUAAUGUAUGGCUGCCGUGGAAGCCAAAUGAGAUGAUGACAAUUUUGUUGGGAGUGCCUAAGAAACGGAAUCCACAAGCUUUCAUUGAAUUUUUAAGAACAACGAUAUCUGUAUAUCACGCUGAUUCCCGAGAAUUAUGGGUACUAGUUCAGCAAGUUUUAACAGCGAUUGAGUAUACCAGAUUCUUGGUUCAUUUAACCUAGAACAACCAUGCAGACCUAGCGGUGGCGCACCCAGGGGCAGGUAACAAUGAGCAUCGAUUACAGCUUAUGCUGGCAGCCGUGGGCCUCACUCUCCAGCAGCCAAUCGAUAUAUCAAAGGUUUUGGAUAAUAAAACCAGGGGAAGGAGAAGCUGCAGAAGAUUUUCUGGAAAGGUUUAAAACCCAUCUACGGCAACCAGUCAGGUGACACUCAGUAUCAGCAAGGAAAUGACUGGCCACGGUUUAGUGCUAUGGUUAUGAACUGUUUGCCUUCCAGCGUUGCAAUGGCUAUUUAAACCAAUAAUAUGGACUGGUCAGAGUCUUCAUCGGCCCACAUGUCAAGAGCUGUGAAAGCCUUUUGGAAAAACUGUCCUAUUGGAGACAGUGAAGCCCAGGUAAAGGUAAAAACGAAAAUAUGUGAUGAGAGAAACGAGAGAAUUUCCACCAGUGGCUGUCCCUGACUGAAUGGGCUAACAUAUCUGGAUGUUACCCUGUUUACGGAUGGCAGCUCAUUCAUUGUUGAAAAGGGAGAAUGGUUGUCAGGCUAUGUGAUUGUUAAUCAGGAGGGAACGACCAUUGAAGCAGCAUCUUUUGAGGCUCCCUUCUAAGCCCAGCUAGCCGAACUAUUUGCGUUGACUAGAGCCUGCACCCUGGCCGAAGAACUAUCUGCAAAUAUUUACACGGACUGCCAAUAUGCUUUUGGAGUGGUUCCUGAUAUGGACAAUUAUGGAAGAAUCGGGGGUGCUCUAACCUCUUCAGGGACAGUGAUAUCUCACAAAAAUGGAUUUCUAAUUUGCUACAGGCCAUUCAGUUACCCGGUCAGCAUGCUGGUGCCAACGUUAGAGUCCAUACUAUAGGUUAAAACCCCAGAGACAUAGGAAAUCGCCUUGCCGACGAUGCGGCUAAGAAAGCUUUUAGGAGUCACCAGAUUGUUGGGCCCCACAUGAUGAGGCAGACUAAAAAUUAUACUAGGAAUAAGUCUCCCUCGGAAAAAGGAAUGCCAACCAUCCAAGAAGUACUUUAAAUACAGGAGGACGCUCCUGCAAAGGUAAAAUAGCUGUGGCAGGACCAGGGUUGUCUGUACGAUCCUGUCACUAGCUUAUGGGUUACGCCUGCCAGACAGACUUGCAGGUCUGACGAGCUUGCGUUGUGGGUUAUUGAAUUUGUACACUUUGCAACUCAUUGUGGGACCAAGGCUGUAAGUGAUAUGCUUUUAGAGACCUGGUGGCAUCUGAAACUUCUGACUUGUCCCGGCGUAUCAGCCAGCGAUGUCUGAUUUGCUAGCAGCAUAAUCCAGGUAAAGGCUUGCCCUGUGAACCAGAUUCCUUUACCAGCAGGUCCCUUUGAGACCUUUCAAAUGGACUACAUUGAGUUGGAAAGAUGUCAGUGUUAUAAGUAUGUUUUUGUAAUUAUUUGUGUUCUUAGUAAAUGAAUAAUUAGUGUAAACGCCUCUCAUGUGUGUGGUAGCAUUAUGUUUUUGAAUUAAUGCUGAAGUUAAGUCUUUUAUUUGUUGUAAAUCACAUGUUAUAAGUGUAGGUGUGUGUCGCUUUAAAAAAACUGUAAGCAGGAGGGUGAAGUUUUUUUACAGCUACCCUUGGCUGUGAGUUUAACCUCUCAAUUUAAAAGGGGAAAUAAGUUGAUUGCUGAAACACAACCAGCUUUAAUGGUUUGUUUAGAUAACCAUUCUGGUUGGAGAAGGGUAAUAAAUCAAUGGAGCCAGGGAAGAAGGCAACUGACUGAUAAUGGGUUAAUCAUGAGUUAAAUUGAUAUUUUGCUAAAUCACUGGAAUAUAACAUAUUUGAUCACUCCUCUUUGACAGAAAAAUUGAAAGUUUGUUGGGUUUAUUUAAUCCGUUGUAUUUUACCUGUUUUUAAGAUGCAAACAGUAUUAUGUGACAAUCCAGCUGAGAUUUCAAAGUGGAUUGAUUGGAUUGUUUGCUGAAAUUUUCAGAAACAGACAGUGUAUUGGAUAGUAUGGAGAACUAUAGAAGAUGGGCAUAAUAAGAAUACAGACCACUCCAUCUGGUACAGCAAGAAUAACGCCUGUGGAAAUCCUAUGUAUUAACUUUAACCUGUGCUUUGCGAACUACUUAUUUACAGGUCAGGGUUGCAUAUGGUGUGGCGCCAGCACUCAAAGUUCCAUCUAAUACUGAGCCAGGUUGCUAUGUGCUGAUCAGGAACUGGAUGCGUAAGCACUUGGACCCACGUUGGGAUGGUCCCUUCCAGGUCAUUCUCACCACUCCGACCGCUGCCAAGGUCGAGGGUCGUGCUGCAUGGGUUCACCUGCACCACUGCAAAUUGAUUGGGGAGCCCAAUCAAAAGGGGGGGAGAAGAGUAAUUUUAUUUUCAACUCAAGAGUUUUUAGUUUUUACAUUUCUGCUUUGUUUGGGAGUUGUAUCAUUAUAAGUUUAGUUGUAUUAUUAUAAGUUUAGUUGUAUUAUUAUAAGUUUAAUUUUGAAACCUUAUUUUGCCAUAUGGUUAAGAAUAUGCGACUGAUUACUGGACUGACUGACUGAAGGACGUUUAAAUUGAGUAAAUAGUUGUUUAAGCUAAUUAAGUAAGAAAUGAGUUUUUGUGAGCCUUUGCUUAUUCCAGAUAGAUUAAAAUGAGGCGAUUCAUCCUGCUCUGCAUCCUGAUGCUACAACAGAUGGAGGGAAAUUAAGGAAAAAUUUGACGAUAUGUCCUGGGACAAUUAAGCAGAAUCUUUCACCUCUGCAAAGGAGAUGUGGUACAGUGCAAUGGCCCGGAUGCCUUUGGAAUCUGAAAUGUCACCAAGAUUGACUAUUGCAAUGGGAUACUGCGUCAGCCUGAUCGACAGGUAGACUUAGAUAACCGACACCCUGUGGGAAUUACCCUAUUAGUUUCGAGGGUGCAAGUUUGACUUUUUCUGCAGACGGAAUCCCUUGGAAGAAAACUCGGCAAAGGGACAUUUGUAUGAUGGACUAUGCUAUCGAGAAGCAUUAGAGGUAUACCUUUGGUUACAGAAGAAAGGACAUGAGCAAAAGAGACAGUAAAAACGGGCAUUGGAAGAAAGAGACUCUAUCAUGUUUGGACGAGCCCAUAAUGAAUUAUUUGGUGAAGGGCAAGUUGUGUGUUACCCCGCUAUGACAUCUGUUGUUAACCUAUUUACAGUAUCUCCCGAGUGGGGAAGGAUUGAACGAUUAGUAAAAUGUCAAGAUGAGAAGCCAGUUCCGGUCAAAGCUGUCACAAUCUAUUAUGACGAGUCCUUAGCCCCACCAGCUAACUGUUUGCCACUACCUCGUGACAAUGAGCAUUCUUACCAGGGUUGUGAGGAUACACAAUGUACAAUUUUGGUCGCCUAACUAUAGGAAGGAUGUCAACAAAAUAGAGAGAGUACAGAGAAGUUUAGGGGUAACAUGCGAGGAAACUUCUUUACUCAGAGAGUGGUAGCUGUGUGGAAUGAGCUUCCAGUGGAAGUGGUGGAGGCAGGUUCGAUUUUAUCAUUUAAAAAUAAAUUGUAUAGCUAUAUGGACGGGAAAAGAAUGGAGGGUUAUGGUCUGAGUACAGGUAGAUGGGACUAGGGGAGAAUAAGUGUUCGGCACGGACUAGAAGGGACGAGAUGGCCUGUUUCUGUGCUGUAAUUGUUAUAUGGUUAUAGAAUUAGAUCAUUGGUAUGGCCAUAUGAGCAGCAAUAGUGGUUUUAUGUUUGUUCAUGGGAAUUGCUAUUGUUAGAUGUAUUAGUGCUAGACUAAUGACAGCCUUGGGUAAUGUGGAAACUGGUGAGAAGAUAUUAUUGCAACAUCUAGAAGAAGAAGAAAUUCCAAUGUUGAAGGAUGAGGAUGUUGAAAGGAUGGUAAAUGCGCAGGUUGAAAAAGAAUUGUUAGAAGAUAAAUGUAUUAGAAUGAAUAAAUUGGAGAUGGACUAGUGGUAUGAAGCCUAGAAUAGUUGAGAACCCUAAGGGCUAGGGUUUGAAGCAUAGCAGAGAAGUAGGGAACAGCAUUGGUGUCAACAAGCCAACCUGCCGACCUACGUGGUCCGGGUUUUGGGGGCUAUAAAGCAUCUGAGGUUAGGUAUAAACUUGGAUGACUAAUAAGCCAAUGCUGAUGAAUUUCUGUUGUGUUAUUAUCCUAUUAGUGGUCAUAAUAUGACCAGAAGAGGGAAUGAGGAAAUAUAUUUUAAAAUUGUUCAAAUGAUAAGUUCUUAAGGAUCUUGUGUUAAGUUGCAAGAGAAGGGUUUGGAGUUGGGGCUUUCAGAAAUACAUGCCUCCACAAAGAAAUAAAGAACAAAGAACACACACAGGAGAACAGAUGGCUUAUCAUAAACAUGGAAAGGGUGAUCUGGAUAGGCAUAUCUAUUCUUUAUUGCUUUGGAGCAAUAAUCAUGCUGUGAGAAGGUGUAGUUGGUUUAGGUUGGUGUUUAUAAUAGAGAUUGUUAAUGGGAUCUUUCUCCUUGACAUGGGCACCAUCCUUCUUCCUUUGUGACACAUCUCAGAGUUUGGCUGUGUCAUCUAAGGCGAUUUAUGAUUGUCUAUGUUGGAUUGUAGGCACCAAGGGUAGAUACUAGUCUGUGAGAUGGUUUGUGCUGUUUAGAUGUGUUUAUGUUGGGAUAAGAGAUCAGGCAUAGGUAAUGGUUAUGUGACCUUUGUAUAAGGAUAAUUUCUUAUGUGUAUAAAAAACUGAGAAAGUAACUCUGUUUUAAUCUAAGCCAAACGAUUGGGGUCUGCAUAUAGUAAUCUUCCAUUUGCUGUGUGGAAUGCUAUUCGUGGGGGGGUCGUAAAGAGACCUUACAUUCCUUUCCUCCACUGAUAGUAGGAGGUUGUAAUUCAGAAUGAAACUAGACCCGAGCUUGGAAGGAGGAAUUAUAAUUUAUCAAGUGUGACAAGUAUAUGGCCUUUGUGAGCUUGGAGGUGGGAAUUGUGUGAUUAGAACUUUGUCUUUACCACUUUGUAAGAAUGGGGUAAAACUCAUCUUUAAUCUUUGUAAUUCAUAAGUAACUGUAUUUUAACUAAGUGGUUGUAAGGAAAUUAAUUGUGAAGUGUAUUGUGUUUAAUUACGAUUGUGAGUAUUAGACUUUGUUUAAAUCGGAAGUUUUAGAAAUAACUUUCUUGUCCAAAAGUGAAAAUAUGUUUUGUAUGUAUGUGUUGUGUGAUUGCUAUAUUAUGUGUAUAUUCUGAGAAGUAUUCUGUGAGAAUUAGUUUUAUAUCUGUGGUUUUACUUUAAUGAAAUAAAGUGAUUUUGAGCAAAGAGGUUGAAGAAACCACAGAGGGGAUGAAGGUUGUAAAGGGGCUGGAAAAGGGAAAAUCAUGUGACUAUACGUGUUGUCAAUCAAUGGAAAGGAUUUAGUUGAUUGGUUAAUGCAAAUAAGUUAAAUGUAUGGUAAACCAUAAUGAUUGGUUAAUAGUUUGCCACUCCUUUUGUACUAUCCUUGUCUUUUACCUAUAUAAUGUGUUACAUUUAUGCCAAAGUUGUAGUUCUUUCAACCUGCCCCAGAGUUUCUAACUCUGUGUUGGAAGGUUUAAAGAAUUAUCCAGCGCUGUCAGAAUAAAGAAUCGAUUCCAGCAACAA
Long non-coding RNA from Leucoraja erinaceus (little skate), 8653 nucleotides. RefSeq lists it as uncharacterized. Lineage: Eukaryota; Metazoa; Chordata; Chondrichthyes; Rajiformes; Rajidae. The transcript is spliced from 2 exons. The record is from RefSeq and is a predicted model, not a curated record.